AGCAGCCGCGGUAAUUCCAGCUCCAAUAGCGUAUAUUAAAGUUGUUGCAGUUAAAAAGCUCGUAGUUGAAUUUCGGGAUCAAUAUUUCGGUCAUGCCGUUGGUAUGCACUGUUAUCAUUGAUUUCUCACCUUCUAAAGAACCGUAAUGCCAUUAAUUUGGUGUUACGGGGAAUUAGGACUGUUACCUUGAAAAAUUAGAGUGUUUAAAGCAGGCUCACGCUUGAAUACAUUAGCAUGGAAUAAUGAAAUAGGACAUCCGAUUCUAUUUUGUUGGUUUCUAGGAUCGAUGUAAUGAUUAAUAGGGAUAGUUGGGGGCAUUAGUAUUCAAUUGUCAGAGGUGAAAUUCUUGGAUUUAUUGAAGACUAACUACUGCGAAAGCAUUUGCCAAGGAUGUUUUCAUUAAUCAAGAACGAGAGUUAGGGGAUCGAAGACGAUCAGAUACCGUCGUAGUCUUAACCAUAAACUAUGCCGACUAGGGAUCGGAUGAUGUUAAUUUUUAAUGACUCAUUC
This 510-nucleotide ribosomal RNA is filed under the name uncultured Glomus. Its description in RNAcentral is "SSU rRNA". It matches the Rfam family "Eukaryotic small subunit ribosomal RNA", at positions 569 to 1081 of the family's 1831-position model. The record is from RNAcentral. Lineage: Eukaryota; Fungi; Glomeromycota; Glomeromycetes; Glomerales; Glomeraceae.